Molecule: non-coding RNA, 45 nt
Filed under: Schistosoma mansoni
Lineage: Eukaryota; Metazoa; Platyhelminthes; Trematoda; Strigeidida; Schistosomatidae
Source: RNAcentral
AUCCAGUUGAUGAGUCCCAUAUAGGACGAAACGCGCAUCCUGGAU